CUGGAGAUGGGCAGAAGCAAGAAAAGCCAAGAAAGAGAGAAGGAAAAGGAAAAGGAGAGAGAGAGAGAGAAGGAGAAGAAAAGGAAGUGGGUCUUCAAGCUUGGAUUCUCCAUUUCUUCAUUGAUUUAGAGAGGUGGGUGUAAGUAGGAUGAGUUAUCUUUUUGAGUUUAUGAAAAUUUUCUAAAAUUUAAGGUUUAGCAAAAUUAAUGAUUGUUGAUAUAUGUUUGAGGCAUUAAAAACAACAAUAAUAUUAGUGUCGAAAGGAAGGAAAUGUGAAAUGGAUUUGUAAAUUAGAGUUCCAAUCUUUGAAUUAUUUUGUUUACACUUGAUUUAUGAUGAAUUAGAGUGGUAAAAAAAAAAUUUAGGUUAGAUUUUGGUAUUUAUAAUAAAUUUUCGAGCAAAAUUCAUGUGCGGGUGCUAUUCAUGAAAUUCUGCCCAGAAAAGUGCCAUUUCUGUCAAUGGUUUUGAUGCCAGAUUUUAAUAUGCAGAAAUUGGUGCCAGGUUUCAAUUUUUUGGGAUUUUAGUGCUGUUUUUGACAAAACUCUUAUUUUUCAGAUUUUUAAAGGCUUCAAUGAAGUUAUAUGACGUGUAUUGAGGUUUAUGUAUUGGAAUAAAUUAUGUAUAGGGCUUGUAUAUGUAUAAGUUAAUGAAUUUAAGGAAGUGUGGGUAAUUUAAUAGAUUUGAUAAUGCAUGGUGUUUAGUCGAUGAAUUAAUAAAGAGAAUAAAAGUUGGGGAUUGGAGAUGUAAGAGUAAAUAUAGAAGUUGAGGAGUUAAGUGGUGGAAUUGUAUUGAUUUAAUUGUUAAGUUUCAAUUUGAGUAAUUAUUAUUCCGUUAUUCAGGUAGUGACGUGAAAACUUGAAAAGACUCGUCAAUUUAGUCAGAUUUCUAUCCAUAAAUCUGUGAAUGAAAAAAAUAUAAAUAUUUUUAAAGUAUUUAUAAAUUAAGUAUAUUGUUAAAAUAUGUGCAAUUAUGUGCUCGAAUUAUAUGUUUAUUAUGGAAAUAUCUUUUAUUAUGAUAUAUGUGAGAUUUUAAAGAUUGUAUACGGUACAUUGUGAAUUGGAAUAUGAGACAUGAUUUUGAGAUCGACCAGAAAAGUACCCGUGAUUAUAUAUUUCUUCUAGUUCUCUAAGAGGUCUUGGCCGUGUUCUAUACUACACUGAGGGGUCUUGAACCGGGGAUGAAGGGGUCUCGACCGUGUACAUAUAGUUCACUAAAGGGCCUUGACCGUGUUCAAGAAUUGAUUAUGAGAUGUGUUUGAGACCAGCUUUCGUUCACGGAGGGGGCCAAAGGCCCGUGGAGAAAGUUCUUAACCCGAGGAGCGGAUUACAUAUUUCAGUCAAAGGGUACAUUUUUGGUGAAUUUUUCAGUAUGUUUGAUGUGAUGAGAUUAUAGCGUGUUAUCAGCUGAUAUUUAUAUCAUGAUUUUGAGAUGAUAUUUUACGACCUUAUGUGAAUAUUUCACUUUUGGUUAUAAUUACAUGAUGUUAUCUUAUGAAAUAUUAAAUGAUAUGAACUCGAUUUUCGAUAGAAAUGUAAAAUUGAAAAAGUAUAAUUAUUUUCGAACUUCUCCACCCACUGAACUAUCAACUCAUAUAUUUUUCCACGAUUUUUCCUACAGGUAGCAGUUGAUUCUUUUUAGCUGGAAGAACCUAAUGAUUUUGGAAUGAGAGCCACACGGCAUGUUGAAUAUUAUAACUCAUAUUGAUGAAACAUGAAGUAAAUUUUAUGAGCCCAUCGCAUUAUAUUUUAUAUAAGUAUUUGAUUUUGUUGCAUUUUUUUUGAAGUAACUCAUGUUAGCCUUGGUGAUAGAUUUGACAUCUAGUCAGCAUCUAUCAUCGGCGCAUGUCUCAUCUCGGGUCCACUAGGGUGAUUCGGGACGGGUCGUGUCACUAAAGGACAAUAUUUAGAAAUGGAUCGUUGCAUGGAUUGUGAUAUCCCAUUUGCUGAAGAUUGGAUAAAAGUUAGAGAUAUUUGUAAACUUGUUCAAAAUGUAUAUAAUGCUGCAGAAGUUCUUUUCGAGACAAAACAUGAUAGUGCAGGCAUCUAUGUUCACAAAUGUCUAGAAUUACAAGCAAGUUUUAUAGAAGAAUCCAGAAAUUCAGAUAAAUUUGUUAGAAUCAUAGCUCGGAAGACGCUAAAGAAGUUUGAGAAGUACUGGAAGAACAUGUUCCUUGUACUAACCGCUGUUACAGUUUUGAAGCCUUA
Molecule: long non-coding RNA, 2204 nt
Filed under: Olea europaea subsp. europaea
Lineage: Eukaryota; Viridiplantae; Streptophyta; Magnoliopsida; Lamiales; Oleaceae
Source: RNAcentral